RNAcentral lists this unclassified non-coding RNA (1914 nucleotides) under Pocillopora damicornis (cauliflower coral). RNAcentral describes it as "uncharacterized LOC113677464, transcript variant X2". Lineage: Eukaryota; Metazoa; Cnidaria; Anthozoa; Scleractinia; Pocilloporidae. The record is from RNAcentral.
CCCUUGGUCAGCGGCGUACUAAUUCCAGUCUUCAUUUGCAUUGUUUUUCCAUCCUCAAGGAACGCCUUGUAGAAAAGUAUAAUCGUGUCCGCUGCAUCCAAGGGGUUUCCACUUCUGUGUUAUGAAUCAUCCUACGUUACUUAGAACUUGGAGAAAUGUAGCUGUCAAAGGAAUAACUGAAAGCAUUGGCAAAAGGUCAUUCUACACAUGGCUUAACUUUGUCUUCAACAGAUUAUGCAAGAAACCUUGGAAAUGCAGCCAAACAAGGCUUAAAGAGACAACCCAUUGGGUGGCAUAUUAUUUUACGAAUUCAAAUUCUUGGUAUCCUGACCUGGACAUGCCAUGAUCCUGUUGGCCAUACUGAUAAUUCAACGAUUACCACCCGUACCAAUGGCACCACAGAGUGUACAGAAAGGGGGGGACUGAGUGCAAAGAUUUGUUGCAGUAGUGCAUCAGCACUCUGUCAGACAGGAAACAAAGAUGGCAAGAUCUGGAACUCUCCUGCCAUACCUUGCUCAGAGAGAAAUUCAGUCUUGCUGUUUUUCUCCUCAGAAGAGUGUUCUGCUUCAGAAGAAGUGUUCGCUUCAACAGCAGAAUUGUGUUCAGAUAGUUUUCCUUUAUUUCCCUCAUUAUGGAACAAUGGGAUUGCUGUCACCUUUUGUUGUUUUAUGCACUUGUUGAAAUCGUUAUUUAGUUCUUUGAUACUGAGCUCUCUUUACUAAUAAGUGAUCAAAGUUAAAUGGAAGGAAGUGGUUACCAUGACUAGUGCAUGUAAUUGUGCAAACUUUUCCAGCUUUUAAAAUUAACAAUAUCAUCAUUUUGGUGAAAAGUGAUAAACUUAUGCCUUAUGGUGAGCAAAGACAACAAUGGAUCAAUGCUGGUUGAGAAAAUCACUACCCACUGAAAAGGCUCUCUUAAGUCGAGGCAAUGGACUGAGAAAAAAUCCAUGAUCAGGAUCAGAAUUGGCCAGUAUAAACCAUAAGGAUUAUGGGAUUGAUAGAAAAUUCUAGUCAGAAUUACCAGAUUGAAGAACCCUAUUGCGGACCCUCUUUCCCUCUUUUCUUUUUCAAAAAUAUUUCAGGUUAAGAUUUAAAUGAGUUUGAUAUGUCUCAAUUUUCUUAUUGUACUCUUGAAGCUUUAAAACUUAAAACUGAGUUGCUAAGGAAAAAGCUUCAACCAUCUAGAAAUAAUACUGUGUAACUUGUUCAUCUCUUCCAGAGUUGAUGAAGAACGAAUUAAAGAAUUUGGAGCUGACAGCACUUUACAAUGACUGAAAUAAAUAUAAAGUGCUUGAAAAUCCCAAAUGGCAGGAGGCAGACCAGUUGGCUAUUUACACAGUGCAGCCGAGGAGUUAGACUUGGGGUGACUGUGAACAAUUCCAGUGAAUGGCAGGAUGGAGGACUUGAACCUGGUACCACCAGAUUACAAGUCUAACACCCUAUCCACUCGGUCACACCACCUCCUAUUUUGCAUAUAGAAAAGUUAUGUGGUAAUUUUAUUAUUGUUGAAACUGAGUACAAUAUUUUCAAAAACCUGUGCUUGAGUCACUACUAUAGAAAUCAGCACCCUUUGAUUUACCCUGUGCUUAAGACACUUUUAAGUGUAGCAGUAAAUUUAUUUAAGUAAAUAGAAUAAGAAAGAUGACAAUUUUGGCCUUGGUUGUGGAAUAAACAGUGGUGUUACAUGUAUUUGUUUCCUCAAGGCUGUGGACAAAGGAAAAAAAAAGCUCUCCACAAGCAAGCAAACCUCAAAUCUGAGGUUGGAUCUUGUAGGAGACGUUACCCAUGCUCAUUACAGAAAAAAGUACAUCUUCUAGACAUCUCAGCUCAAUUUUUUUCAAAGGUACCAUUUGGUAAUUUAAAAUCACAAAGACUUCUGUUCAGCUGAAUCAUAAUGCUGUCAGGAAAAAAAAAA